CUGCAUCUGGGGGGUAAGCAGUCCCUUACACCUGAUAACCAUCCUCUUCACUUUUUCUGAUGAAACCUUCUGUUUUUAGCUGAACAUCAAGGGAUGAGAUAUUU
Non-coding RNA from Triticum aestivum (bread wheat), 104 nucleotides. The record is from Rfam. Lineage: Eukaryota; Viridiplantae; Streptophyta; Magnoliopsida; Poales; Poaceae.